RNAcentral lists this ribosomal RNA (1511 nucleotides) under uncultured bacterium. RNAcentral's name for it is "bacterial SSU rRNA". It matches the Rfam family "Bacterial small subunit ribosomal RNA". The record is from RNAcentral.
GGCCGCGGGAAUUCGAUUAGAGUUUGAUCCUGGCUCAGGAUGAACGCUGGCGGUGCGCCUAACACAUGCAAGUCGAACGAACCUUGUAAACUUGAAGCUUCGGUGGAUUGUUUGCGCUGGUUAGUGGCAGACGGGUGAGUAAUGCAAGGGUAAUUUGCCUCUAAGUCUGGGAUAACAUUCCGAAAGGAAUGCUAAUACCGGAUAUUCUUUUUCAAUCGCAUGAUUGAAAAAGGAAAGCUCCGGCGCUUAGAGAGAAGCCCUUGUCUGAUUAGUUUGUUGGUGGGGUAACGGCCUACCAAGACUACGAUCAGUAACUGGUCUGAGAGGAUGAUCAGUCACACUGGAACUGAGACACGGUCCAGACUCCUACGGGAGGCAGCAGUGGGGAAUAUUGCGCAAUGGGCGAAAGCCUGACGCAGCGACACCGCGUGAGUGAAGAAGUCUUUCGGGAUGUAAAACUCUGUCAAGAGGGACGAUUAUGACGGUACCUCUAAAGGAAGCCCCGGCUAAUUACGUGCCAGCAGCCGCGGUAAUACGUAAGGGGCAAGCGUUAUCCGGAUUUAUUGGGCAUAAAGGGCGCGUAGGUGGUCUUUUAAGUAAGUUGUUAAAAGCAUCGGCUCAACCGAUGUUCGCAUCUUAAACUGGAAGACUAGAGGACAGUAGAGGAAAGCGGAACUCAUAGUGUAGCGGUGAAAUGCGUAGAUAUUAUGAGGAACACCAGUUGCGAAGGCGGCUUUCUGGCCUGAUCCUGACACUGAGGCGCGAAAGCGUGGGGAGCGAACGGGAUUAGAUACCCCGGUAGUCCACGCCGUAAACGGUGUACACUAAGUGUAGGAGGUAUCGACCCCUUCUGUGCUACAGAUAAUUCGUUAAGUGUACCGCCUGGGAAGUACGACCGCAAGGUUAAAACUCAAAGGAAUUGACGGGGGCCCGCACAAGCAGUGGAGCAUGUGGUUUAAUUCGACGAUACGCGAAGAACCUUACCAGGGCUUGACAUCCUCAGAACCCUCUAGAGAUAGAGGGGUGCCUUCGGGAACUGAGUGACAGGUGGUGCAUGGCUGUCGUCGGCUCGUGUCGUGAGAUGUUGGGUUAAGUCCCGCAACGAGCGCAACCCCCGUUAUGUGUUGCCAGCACGUCAAGGUGGGAACUCACAUAAGACUGCCCGUGGAAAGCGGGAGGAAGGUGGGGACGACGUCAAGUCAUCAUGCCCCUUACGCCCUGGGCUACACACAUGCUACAAUGGCCGGUACAAUGGGUUGCGAAGCCGCGAGGUGGAGCUAAUCUCAAAAAACCGGUCCCAGUUCGGAUUGUAGUCUGCAACUCGACUACAUGAAGUCGGAAUUGCUAGUAAACGCAGAUCAGCUACGCUGCGUUGAAUACGUUCCCGGGCCUUGUACACACCGCCCGUCACACCAUGAGAGUUGGAAACGCCCAAAGUCAGUGUGCUAACUUCGGAAGCAGCUGCCUAAGGUGGAGCCAGCGAUUGGGGUGAAGUCGUAACAAGGUAACCA